This 334-nucleotide long non-coding RNA is filed under the name Phoenix dactylifera (date palm). RNAcentral describes it as "long non-coding RNA (PDAC_LNC021084)". The record is from RNAcentral. Lineage: Eukaryota; Viridiplantae; Streptophyta; Magnoliopsida; Arecales; Arecaceae.
AUGCAGGCGCCCGGAUCCGUAAUCCGAGUACUCGAGCUGGUAACACCAUUGCAUGCGACCGCGAACGUUCGCCGCCGCCGCUACGAUCGCCGCCUCUCCAGGCGGAGCGCCGUUGUGAGACCGCGAGGAAGAGGUGGCCUCGUCGGGAUGGAAGACAUCGAAGACGUGGUGGCCGCCGGAGCUCUCCCGGGGCUUCGCCUCCCCCUGACUGCCGUCGGCGUGAAGCCCAAGAAGAAGCCCAGAGCUCGCCUCAUCCGCGACCUGAAUUCCAACUCUCAAAUCCCGGGCACGCAGGUCUUCCUCUCCCCACCCCACCCCCCUCCCUCUCUCUCUU